CCUACGGGUGGCUGCAGUAGGGAAUAUUGCUCAAUGGGGGAAACCCUGAAGCAGCAACGCCGCGUGGAGGAUGAAGGUUUUCGGAUUGUAAACUCCUUUUGUUAGAGAAGAUAAUGACGGUAUCUAACGAAUAAGCACCGGCUAACUCCGUGCCAGCAGCCGCGGUAAUACGGAGGAUUCAAGCGUUAUCCGGAUUUAUUGGGUUUAAAGGGUGCGUAGGCGGGAUAGCAAGUCAGAUGUGAAAUCCUAUGGCUUAACCAUAGAACUGCAUUUGAAACUGUUAUUCUAGAGUAUGGGAGAGGUAGGUGGAAUUCUUGGUGUAGGGGUAAAAUCCGUAGAGAUCAAGAGGAAUACUCAUUGCGAAGGCGACCUGCUAGAACAUAACUGACGCUGAUGCGCGAAAGCGUGGGGAGCAAACAGGAUUAGAUACCCUGGUAGUC
Molecule: ribosomal RNA, 440 nt
Filed under: uncultured bacterium
Lineage: Bacteria
Description: partial 16S ribosomal RNA
Rfam family: Bacterial small subunit ribosomal RNA
Source: RNAcentral